GGGAAUCAGAGAUGGGUACCGCAGGUAGACAAUUCGACACUGGUCUGGACUCAGCCGGGGAGAGGAGACAGCCAAGGAGUCAUCUGAGAGGAGCUCUGGGCCAGAUGGAAAGGUCCACAUAGAACAGGGCUGACCUGGAACCACCAGAGAUAUACUUAGUUUCAAGGCCAGAUGGACAGCAGGACCCCUUACUCUGCCAAGUUCCUUACCUUCGAUUGGUGCAAAAGCGGAUGCCCAGCCGAAAGGGCUCGUGCCACCAGCCUACGAAUACCACACCCGUGUCUCCAGGGGCCCAGAAUGCCUGUAAACAAGACCACAGGACAGGCCCUGCAAACACCACUGAAUCUCCAUCAUGGAACACCAGGUACUGGCGGCAGAAUCGGAUGUUCUCCAUGCGUUCCAGGUCCCUCUGGGUCCACUCUGUGAGAGUGCAGAGCCCUCUCCCCUCCAUACACACACCGGUGUGCACCGUCCGGUAGAGGCCCCCGUACUGCGUGGUGACUUCCGGGCCCAGGCAGGCGGCGCUCAGCGCGGGCUG
Molecule: long non-coding RNA, 538 nt
Organism: Otolemur garnettii (small-eared galago)
Lineage: Eukaryota; Metazoa; Chordata; Mammalia; Primates; Galagidae
Exons: 4
Source: RefSeq, a predicted model, not a curated record